Molecule: ribosomal RNA, 1452 nt
Filed under: Vibrio cholerae
Lineage: Bacteria; Pseudomonadati; Pseudomonadota; Gammaproteobacteria; Vibrionales; Vibrionaceae
Description: partial 23S ribosomal RNA
Rfam family: Bacterial large subunit ribosomal RNA
Source: RNAcentral
GUUGUAUGGUUAAGUGACUAAGCGUACACGGUGGAUGCCUGGGCAGUCAGAGGCGAUGAAGGACGUACUAACUUGCGAUAAGCGCAGAUAAGGCAGUAAGAGCCGUUUGAGUCUGCGAUUUCCGAAUGGGGAAACCCAACUGCAUAAGCAGUUACUGUUAACUGAAUACAUAGGUUAACAGAGCAAACCGGGGGAACUGAAACAUCUAAGUACCCCGAGGAGAAGAAAUCAACCGAGAUUCCGGUAGUAGCGGCGAGCGAACCUGGAUUAGCCCUUAAGCACUCGGUGAAGUAGGUGAACAAGCUGGAAAGCUUGGCGAUACAGGGUGAUAGCCCCGUAACCGACGCUUCAUCGAGCGUGAAAUCGAGUAGGGCGGGACACGUGAUAUCCUGUCUGAAUAUGGGGGGACCAUCCUCCAAGGCUAAAUACUCCUGACUGACCGAUAGUGAACCAGUACCGUGAGGGAAAGGCGAAAAGAACCCCUGUGAGGGGAGUGAAAUAGAACCUGAAACCGUGUACGUACAAGCAGUAGGAGCACCUUCGUGGUGUGACUGCGUACCUUUUGUAUAAUGGGUCAGCGACUUAUAUUCAGUGGCAAGGUUAACCGUAUAGGGGAGCCGUAGCGAAAGCGAGUCUUAACUGGGCGCUCAGUCUCUGGAUAUAGACCCGAAACCGGGUGAUCUAGCCAUGGGCAGGUUGAAGGUUGAGUAACAUCAACUGGAGGACCGAACCGACUAAUGUUGAAAAAUUAGCGGAUGACUUGUGGCUAGGGGUGAAAGGCCAAUCAAACUCGGAGAUAGCUGGUUCUCCCCGAAAGCUAUUUAGGUAGCGCCUCGGACGAAUACUACUGGGGGUAGAGCACUGUUAAGGCUAGGGGGUCAUCCCGACUUACCAACCCUUUGCAAACUCCGAAUACCAGUAAGUACUAUCCGGGAGACACACGGCGGGUGCUAACGUCCGUCGUGGAGAGGGAAACAACCCAGACCGCCAGCUAAGGUCCCAAAGUAUUGCUAAGUGGGAAACGAUGUGGGAAGGCUCAGACAGCUAGGAUGUUGGCUUAGAAGCAGCCAUCAUUUAAAGAAAGCGUAAUAGCUCACUAGUCGAGUCGGCCUGCGCGGAAGAUGUAACGGGGCUAAGCAAUACACCGAAGCUGCGGCAAUGUCUUUUAGACAUUGGGUAGGGGAGCGUUCUGUAAGCCGUUGAAGGUGAAUCGUAAGGUUUGCUGGAGGUAUCAGAAGUGCGAAUGCUGACAUGAGUAACGACAAAGGGGGUGAAAAACCUCCUCGCCGGAAGACCAAGGGUUCCUGUCCAACGUUAAUCGGGGCAGGGUGAGUCGACCCCUAAGGUGAGGCCGAAAGGCGUAAUCGAUGGGAAACGGGUUAAUAUUCCCGUACUUCUGACUAUUGCGAUGGGGGGACGGAGAAGGCUAGGUGGGCCAGGCGACGGUUGUCC